GAUGAACGCUGACAGAAUGCUUAACACAUGCAAGUCGACUCGAGUCUUCGGACUUGGGUGGCGGACGGGUGAGUAACGCGUAAAGAACUUGCCUCAUAGUCUGGGACAACAUUUGGAAAUGGAUGCUAAUACCGGAUAUUAUACUUUCUUCGCAUGGAGGAAGUAUGAAAGCUAUAUGCGCUAUGAGAGAGCUUGCGUCCCAUUAGCUAGUUGGUGAGGUAACGGCCCACCAAGGCGAUGAUGGGUAGCCGGCCUGAGAGGGUGAACGGCCACAAGGGGACUGAGACACGGCCCUUACUCCUACGGGAGGCAGCAGUGGGGAAUAUUGGACAAUGGACCAAAAGUCUGAUCCAGCAAUUCUGUGUGCACGAUGACGUUUUUCGGAAUGUAAAGUGCUUUCAGUCGGGAAGAAGCAAGUGACGGUACCGACAGAAGAAGCGACGGCUAAAUACGUGCCAGCAGCCGCGGUAAUACGUAUGUCGCAAGCGUUAUCCGGAUUUAUUGGGCGUAAAGCGCGUCUAGGCGGCAAGGAAAGUCUGAUGUGAAAAUGCGGGGCUCAACUCCGUAUUGCGUUGGAAACUGCCUUACUAGAGUACUGGAGAGGUAGGCGGAACUACAAGUGUAGAGGUGAAAUUCGUAGAUAUUUGUAGGAAUGCCGAUGGGGAAGCCAGCCUACUGGACAGAUACUGACGCUAAAGCGCGAAAGCGUGGGUAGCAAACAGG
RNAcentral lists this ribosomal RNA (723 nucleotides) under uncultured Fusobacterium sp. RNAcentral's name for it is "bacterial SSU rRNA". It matches the Rfam family "Bacterial small subunit ribosomal RNA", at positions 28 to 776 of the family's 1533-position model. The record is from RNAcentral. Lineage: Bacteria; Fusobacteriati; Fusobacteriota; Fusobacteriia; Fusobacteriales; Fusobacteriaceae.